GAUGAACGCUGGCGGCGUGCCUAAUACAUGCAAGUCGAGCGAACAGACGAGGAGCUUGCUCCUCUGACGUUAGCGGCGGACGGGUGAGGAACACGUGGAUAACCUACCUAUAAGACUGGGAUAACUUCGGGAAACCGGAGCUAAUACCGGAUAAUAUAUUGAACCGCAUGGUUCAAUAGUUAAAGACGGUUUUGCUGUCACUUAUAGAUGGAUCCGCGCCGCAUUAGCUAGUUGGUAAGGUAACGGCUUACCAAGGCAACGAUGCGUAGCCGACCUGAGAGGGUGAUCGGACACACUGGAACUGAGACACGGUCCAGACUCCGACGGGAGGCAGCAGUAGGGAAUCUUCCGCAAUGGGCGAAAGCCUGACGGAGCAACGCCGCGUGAGUGAUGAAGGUCUUCGGAUCGUAAAACUCUGUUAGUAGGGAAGAACAAAUGUGUAAGUACCUAUGCACGUCUUGACGGUACCUAAACAGAAAGCCACGGCUAACUACGUG
RNAcentral lists this ribosomal RNA (497 nucleotides) under uncultured bacterium. RNAcentral's name for it is "partial 16S ribosomal RNA". It matches the Rfam family "Bacterial small subunit ribosomal RNA", at positions 28 to 507 of the family's 1533-position model. The record is from RNAcentral.